This 497-nucleotide ribosomal RNA is filed under the name uncultured bacterium. Its description in RNAcentral is "bacterial SSU rRNA". It matches the Rfam family "Bacterial small subunit ribosomal RNA", at positions 29 to 520 of the family's 1533-position model. The record is from RNAcentral.
AUUGAACGCUGGCGGCAUGCUUUACACAUGCAAGUCGAACGGCAGCACGGGCUUCGGCCUGGUGGCGAGUGGCGAACGGGUGAGUAAUGCAUCGGAACGUACCGUGUAAUGGGGGAUAACGUAGCGAAAGUUACGCUAAUACCGCAUACGCCCUGAGGGGGAAAGCGGGGGAUCGUAAGACCUCGCGUUAUACGAGCGGCCGAUGUCGGAUUAGCUAGUUGGUGGGGUAAAGGCCUACCAAGGCGACGAUCCGUAGCGGGUCUGAGAGGAUGAUCCGCCACACUGGGACUGAGACACGGCCCAGACUCCUACGGGAGGCAGCAGUGGGGAAUUUUGGACAAUGGGCGCAAGCCUGAUCCAGCCAUGCCGCGUGAGUGAAGAAGGCCUUCGGUUGUAAAGCUCUUUCAGACGGAAGAAAUCGACGCGCUCUAACAUAGCGCGUGGAUGACGGUACCGUAAGAAGAAGCACCGGCUAACUACGUAGCCAGCAGCCGCGG